GUUACACUGUAAACAGAAACACUCUCACUAUCAGAGGAGUAAUUACAUCUGAUCAGGAUCAGUACUGGUGUAGAGGACAGAGAGAUAAAAGACCAAACUCAUCACAAUCAAGAUCUGUUUCUCUCACUGUGAGUGGAUUUACCCAGAUCUACACUGACUGUGACUCCAGACAGUCCUGUAUUCACUGGAGAGACAGUCAACCUGAAGUGUGUUAUAGAAUCUAAUCACAGUGACUGGAGAUAUGAGUGGUAUAAAGACAGUGUAAUGUUACAGUCAUCUGAUUGUUACACUGUAAACAGAGACACUCUCAGUAUUAAAGCACUGAAUGAGUCUGAUCUGGAUCAGUACUGGUGUAGAGGACAGAGAGAUGAGAGACCAAACUCAUCACAGGAGGGUAACCGAAUACAUCUGUCUGCUAAUGUCUCAGAUGCUUCAUCUUCUCUUCUGGUCACUGCUGUGGUUGUGGGAUCAAGUGUUUGCUUGUUGAUCUUCAUCUCACUGCUACUGCUGUGGAGAUACAAGAAGAACAAAG
Molecule: long non-coding RNA, 532 nt
Organism: Cyprinus carpio (common carp)
Lineage: Eukaryota; Metazoa; Chordata; Actinopteri; Cypriniformes; Cyprinidae
Exons: 3
Source: RefSeq, a predicted model, not a curated record